AUAAAGAGAAACCCUGGGUUUUCGUGUCCAACGUUUAACCGUCCGUCUUAUUUAAAAAAAUUAAAAUGACAAGUCACGUAAAGUAUUAAUCAUAUUUUAUCAAAUUCCAUAUAAGAUGGACAGUUAAACGUUGGGCACGGAAAUUCAGGGUUUGUUUUUUU
Oryza meridionalis is the source of this 161-nucleotide non-coding RNA. Lineage: Eukaryota; Viridiplantae; Streptophyta; Magnoliopsida; Poales; Poaceae. The record is from Rfam.